GACGAACGCUGGCGGCGUGCUUAACACAUGCAAGUCGAACGGAAAGGCCCUGCUUUUGUGGGGUACUCGAGUGGCGAACGGGUGAGUAACACGUGAGGAACCUGCCCUUGACUUUGGGAUAACUUCAGGAAACUGGGGCUAAUACCGGGUAGGAGCUCCUGCUGCAUGGUGGGGGUUGGAAAGUUUCGGCGGUUGGGGAUGGACUCGCGGCUUAUCAGCUUGUUGGUGGGGUAGUGGCUUACCAAGGCUUUGACGGGUAGCCGGCCUGAGAGGGUGACCGGCCACAUUGGGACUGAGAUACGGCCCAGACUCCUACGGGAGGCAGCAGUGGGGAAUAUUGCACAAUGGGCGGAAGCCUGAUGCAGCAACGCCGCGUGCGGGAUGACGGCCUUCGGGUUGUAAACCGCUUUCGCCUGUGACGAAGCGUGAGUGACGGUAAUGGGUAAAGAAGCACCGGCUAACUACGUG
This 468-nucleotide ribosomal RNA is filed under the name uncultured bacterium. RNAcentral describes it as "partial 16S ribosomal RNA". It matches the Rfam family "Bacterial small subunit ribosomal RNA", at positions 28 to 507 of the family's 1533-position model. The record is from RNAcentral.